This is a long non-coding RNA of Homalodisca vitripennis (glassy-winged sharpshooter), 307 nucleotides long. RefSeq lists it as uncharacterized. The record is from RefSeq and is a predicted model, not a curated record. NCBI's taxonomy places the organism in Eukaryota, Metazoa, Arthropoda, Insecta, Hemiptera, Cicadellidae. The transcript has 3 exons.
UCUGACUAUACACAUGUUUUGUUAUAUAGAGGUUCGGGUAUAAAGAGGUUCUGAAUACAAAAAGGUUCUGUUACAUAGAGGUUCUGACUAUACAGAGGUUCUGACUAUACACAGGUUUUGUUAUAUAGAAGUUCGGUUAUAAAGAGGUUCUGACUACAAAAAGGUUCUGUUACAUAGAGGUUCUGACCAUACAGAGGUUCUGACUAUACACAGGUUUUGUUAUAUAGAAGUUCGGCUAUAAAGAGGUUCUGACUACAAAAAGGUUCUGUUACAUAGAGGUUCUGACCAUACAGAGGUUCUGACUAUA